This 72-nucleotide transfer RNA is filed under the name Loxodonta africana (African savanna elephant). RNAcentral's name for it is "tRNA-Val (AAC) (tRNA-Val-AAC-28-1)". It matches the Rfam family "tRNA". Rfam says of the family: Transfer RNA (tRNA) molecules are approximately 80 nucleotides in length. Their secondary structure includes four short double-helical elements and three loops (D, anti-codon, and T loops). The record is from Rfam by way of RNAcentral. Lineage: Eukaryota; Metazoa; Chordata; Mammalia; Proboscidea; Elephantidae.
GGGGGUAUUGCCCAGCGGUAGAGCACACGCUUAACAUGCGUGAGGUCCUGGGUUCGAUGCCCAGCACUUCCA